RNAcentral lists this ribosomal RNA (700 nucleotides) under uncultured bacterium. RNAcentral's name for it is "bacterial SSU rRNA". It matches the Rfam family "Bacterial small subunit ribosomal RNA", at positions 8 to 706 of the family's 1533-position model. The record is from RNAcentral.
AGAGUUUGAUCCUGGCUCAGAUUGAACGCUGGCGGCAGGCUACACAUGCAAGUCGAGCGGUAGAGAGGUGCUUGCACCUCUUGAGAGCGGCGGACGGGUGAGUAAUACCUAGGAAUCUGCCUGGUAGUGGGGGAUAACGUUCGGAAACGGACGCUAAUACCGCAUACGUCUACGGGAGAAAGCAGGGGACCUUCGGGCCUUGCGCUAUCAGAUGAGCCUAGGUCGGAUUAGCUAGUUGGUGAGGUAAUGGCUCACCAAGGCUACGAUCCGUAACUGGUCUGAGAGGAUGAUCAGUCACACUGGAACUGAGACACGGUCCAGACUCCUACGGGAGGCAGCAGUGGGGAAUAUUGGACAAUGGGCGAAAGCCUGAUCCAGCCAUGCCGCGUGUGUGAAGAAGGUCUUCGGAUUGUAAAGCACUUUAAGUUGGGAGGAAGGGCAUUAACCUAAUACGUUAGUGUCUUGACGUUACCGACAGAAUAAGCACCGGCUAACUCUGUGCCAGCAGCCGCGGUAAUACGGAGGGUGCAAGCGUUAAUCGGAAUUACUGGGCGUAAAGCGCGCGUAGGUGGUUUGUUAAGUUGAAUGUGAAAUCCCCGGGCUCAACCUGGGAACUGCAUCCAAAACUGGCAAGCUAGAGUAUGGUAGAGGGUAGUGGAAUUUCCUGUGUAGCGGUGAAAUGCGUAGAUAUAGGAAGGAA